CCUACGGGGGGCUGCAGUGAGGAAUAUUGGUCAAUGGACGAGAGUCUGAACCAGCCAAGUAGCGUGAAGGAUGACUGCCCUAUGGGUUGUAAACUUCUUUUAUAAAGGAAUAAAACGAGGCACGUGUGCCUUUUUGUAUGUACUUUAUGAAUAAGGAUCGGCUAACUCCGUGCCAGCAGCCGCGGUAAUACGGAGGAUCCGAGCGUUAUCCGGAUUUAUUGGGUUUAAAGGGAGCGUAGAUGGGUUGUUAAGUCAGUUGUGAAAGUUUGCGGCUCAACCGUAAAAUUGCAAUUGAUACUGGCAGUCUUGAGUACAGUUGAGGUAGGCGGAAUUCGUGGUGUAGCGGUGAAAUGCUUAGAUAUCACGAAGAACCCCGAUUGCGAAGGCAGCUUACUAAACUGUGACUGACAUUGAUGCUCGAAAGUGUGGGUAUCAAACAGGAUUAGAUACCCCGGUAGUC
RNAcentral lists this ribosomal RNA (460 nucleotides) under uncultured bacterium. RNAcentral describes it as "partial 16S ribosomal RNA". It matches the Rfam family "Bacterial small subunit ribosomal RNA", at positions 338 to 795 of the family's 1533-position model. The record is from RNAcentral.